CUUGCUUUCCCAAGAUUUUUUGCCUUCCUUCAAAAAGUACUUAUGUUAUUCCUCUUAUUCUACACCUUCAUGGUUAUCAGAGACGGGAAAAUCCCCUUCACAUUUUUGAAACGUCUGUAUUAUGAAUUCUUGACAAAUUUAGGUUAUGGUACAUUGUUCUGUCUGAAAUUAAUGGCAGCUCCAUUUUUAUUUGUUCCCCUUUAGAACAUCAAAAACACUUGAUGGUCCUGAAUGAACCACUCACAGCAUAUAGAGAAGUAGCAAACUCAAAUCUUUAAAUCUCAUGACAUUUUGGAAAUCAGCUUUUUCUUUAUUCUUUUUGAAAAACUUACCUAAUUUUCUCCAUUUUGUUAAAAGACACACUUUUGUCUCCAGUUGAGUUAAAUAACAAGAUGUUAAUCAUUAUGAGUAUUUUUAACAUUAUUUUCUCAUAAUGCCAUAUAAUGUUUUUAUUAUAAUCACUGAAGUUUUCAGGGUAUUUUGAAAGAGACUUAAAAUGGGGGUCAAUACUUUCUUCUUUAUUUUUGAGACAGAGUCUUAACGUCUUCAUCUGUUGCCCAGGCUGGAGUGCGGUGGUGAGAUCAUGUCUCACUGCAGCCUCGAAUUCCAGGGCUCAAGUGAUCCUGCCACCAGGUCCAGCAAUUUUUAAAUUUUUUUGUAGAGACAGAUUUUUGCUCUGUUGCUCACUGGCUUUUGAUUUCUAAGGUUAUCACUUUUUGGUUACUAAAGUCAGUGAAUUGGGAGGAUACUAAGUGCUAUUAGGGUUACAGAAGAUCCUUUCUAAGCAAAUGCAGUUUGAUACUUAGCAUUACUGGAUUUCUAAAGAAGGAGACUCUGUUGAGCAAAGGCUUUCGGUGGAAGUGGAAGUACUACCAAUUCAGGCUGACCUUGGGAAUGGAGAAGGAAGUUGUACCUAUGAAGAAAGAUAAGGAGCAGGAAGGCCAGGUGCCUUUGACUAACUUGUGGAUAGAGUUGAAUAAUAUAGCUUGAGCCCAUGCUAUAGAGAACCCAUGAGGUUGGGCAUUGUGUGACUAAUAACGUUUAGUGGUAUAUUAAUUAUUCUUACUCAUUCAAGAUGAUUGUCUUAUUCUAUACCUGAGCAUUUUGCUAAGUGGGAGGAAAAAAAAAUGAGACAUAUCCUCUGUCUUCCAGGAAGUACCACUCAUUCAGUGAACAUUUAUUAGCACCUACAAGGAAGAAACUAUUUAAAGUGUAUGAGCCAUGUGCUUUCACAUCUUGCAUUUCAUUUAGUCUUGACUCUAGGAGAGAUGAGGUAUAUAUCCUCAUUUUUGUAGUAGAGGAUAUAAUAAAUGUAUGGGGAACCUUUUUUAGUGCUUUCUCUUUGCCUUACUGAUCUUAAUCAGUAACUUUUUCUUACCUGAAAGGAGUACGUUUCAAGACCCCCAGUAGAUGCCUGAAACUGCAGGUCAUGCCAGGCCCGAUUGCUGUCAUUUGGAACAUGUUUCUGUUCUUGUUUUCCAACCUCAAAUUAUGUCUUUUUCAUUCAUCUUAACUACACACUGUGGCCGUAACUUUUGCAGUUUCAGGUUUGAUAGCAGAGCCAGCACAAAGUUCCUUUUCCUUCAGAGUUUCACAGAUAGAAGAUGUGUUCUUACUAUACAGAUCUUAGCAACCUCAGCAUAUGAUUUUUUUCCUUCCUUAGGUCAAGAGCUUUCACCUUUUCACUUUAAAAGAACCAUUUUAUGACUUCUCUUUGGCAUGUUUGAAUUGCCAUCGUCACUACUCCUGGGCAUUGGGGGCAUUGUUAAGUCACAUAAGGGUUACUUGGCACAAGCACAAAUAGAAUGCAACAGUUGAUGUGAUAACCAAGAUGGCUGCUAGUGACUAAUGGGCUGAGGGGCUGGGACUAUCUACAGUGUGGAUAUGCUGGACAAAGGGAUGAUUCACAUCCCAGGCAUGAGUGAGCAGGAUGACAUGAGAUUUCAUCACACUAUGCAGAAAGCAAGCAGUUUAAGAUUUAUGAGUUGUUUACUUCUGGAAUUUUCCAUUUAAUAUUUUCAGACUGUGGUUGACAACAGCUAGAUGAGUCAGCUCUGGAGCUUCAAAAAUAUAUACGAGGGUGCUCAGUCCCAACACCCUUGAUGAGUGGAUCUAAUGGUCUUCUUUUUACAACUUAUAUAGGUAAGUUGUGCUGGAAGACAGUGAUAGUACCUAUCAAGAAGUUCGGCCAGCUUAUUAAUAGAAAACAUUUUUGUCUUAGCGAGCAGGGUUAUUUUAAUGAAAUAGAAACUCAGGGUUGGAAGAGAUGUUUAAAACUGAUUUAAUGUUCAGUAUCUUUUUGCAUCUCAAUUUUCCAGAUAAUUUCAUAGCCACUACUAAGUCCCAUUUCUAAGCUCUGCAUUCGACAUCAAGAAAUAAAUAGGAUAGAGUCUCUGUCCUUAAGCAGGUCAGUUUAGUUGGUGAAAAGAUAGAAGUCAAAGAUUAGGAGGAAACAGCUAUAGUAGAAUAUAACUUGAGCUAAAAAUGAGGUAUGAACGAUAUAUUGUGGAAGCUCAAAAGAUAAGAGGUUUUACCUCUUUCUAGGGGAAAGUGAGGAACUAACUUAAUGCAUCCAGACAAAGCAACUUGUUACAGGGAACAUAGCAAUUUGGUUCUGGGCCUUGGCUAAAUAGGAGAGGUUGGCAUACCCAAAAAAAUAUGGUGGCGGCGGGGGCAGGGGGAGUUUGCAGAAAACGACUUGGAUUAUACCAAGACCCAUUUUAGCUUUAAAAAAAAUUUCUAAAGAAAGAAUCUUGGAGCCAGUACAAAAUUUGCAGAGUAGGGGGCAAGUCAGCCUUAAAACCAAUGGUUUUCCUUUGUUGCCAUUCUGUAUUUACUACCAACAUUUUAAAUUCUUUGUUAUUGUUAGUAAGAUUUGUAUGUAGUGGUGAAAUAUCUGAAUUUAACAAUAUGGUAAGAUAUGGUAUCACUUGUUUCAUUACGAUAAUUUAGUUGUAUAAUUUCAAAUAGCUUAAGAAAUAACAUAGGAGGCUAGGCACAGUGACUUGACACCUGUAAUCCCAGCACUUUGGGGGAGACCAAGGCAGGAGGAUCACUUAAGGCCAGGAAUUCAGGAUCAGCCUGGGCAACUUAGCAGGACCCUGUCUCUACAAAACAAAAUUUAAAAAUUAGCCUGGCAUGAUAGUGCAUGCUUUUAGUCCUAGCUACUUGGAUGGCUAAGGCAGGAAGAUCACUUGAGUCCACGAGUUUGAGGUUAGCUAGCUGUGAUUACACCACUGCAGUCCAACGUGAGUGACAGAACCAGACCGUCUCAAAAAUGAAAGAAAACAAAUACAUAGGUACGUAGUAGGAGGCACACAGGACUUAAUCACAGGUUUUGCUUCUUACUAACUGUAAGGUUUUGGAUCACUAGCUACUUGGAUGCAUUUUUCUCCUUUUAGUUAUAUAUCUUUUUUACUGCCUCCUGGGUGCAGAGUACAGCUAAAUCAGGUUCUACAAAUGAUACAGAGAUGAACAUAACAAGAAGUAUUUACAUGGUUACUAUAAGCCAAACAUUCUUCUAUUUGCUGGGGAUGAAUAAGGUAAUCAGUGUCUAUUCUCAUCGAGAUAGUGUACCCUUAACCUUGCAUUGUAGUGGGAAAACCGACGUGUCAAUAACUGUUGUAUACUAAAUGUGCAUAUAGUAGAUGUCUGUUUUCUUUGCUGCCUUGUAUGUAUGUAUUCAUUUUCUCCUCACAAAAACUAUGGAUAUGGCCAGUUUAUAGAACCUAUGAUGCCUGUGAGGCAUCAUUUUUAUAUUCAUUAUAAGAUGUACCCUGAUCUCAAAGAUAAGAAAAUGAGAAAAGUGGUAAAAGUCAGCAAAAUUUUACUUUUCAGAUGAGAAACAGGCACAGAGAAGGGUAAGAGAUUUCCAAUACAAAAUUAAUGGUAGAGUCAGGAUUUGAAUCAGGAGGUUUGACUGUAACACCCUUGUUCUUGCAGCUUCACAAUAUCUCCCAUAAAGUAGGGAUAAUGAAUUGCAGGCCACAUACUUUGAGAGUAUGGAUUAAUCAAAUUGAUGGUAUUGUAAAAGAUUUAGAGGAGGUAAUUGCUAAGCUGGGUUUAGAAUCAUGAGUGGGAUUUUCGUAAGUACGGGGAGGAAUGAAAGUAAUGAAGAUUUGAGAGUUCAUAUAAAAUUAAAGUGGAUGUGGUUUAACUUGACUUCUUAGCUCUCUCUGUGUUUUUGUCUCUUACCUCCAAAUACUGGUUACCCAUAUCUGCCUUAACAGCCAAAAAUUGUCCAUUGUGUCCAAAUACCAAGGUAUGUCUUUUGAGAUGCUCCCAUUUUCCAGAGUUAUCUAUGCUUCCUAUACCUAAUAACUUCAGGGCAGCCAAAGUAAUGAACACCCGCAGGACUAAAGCACCAGACACAAGUUCAUUAGUUGUUGUACUGUUUGGCUUUCACGAUUUCUUAACCCAGCACUAAUCUAAAAAAGAGACUUUACCAAAGUCCUACCUUAACUUUGUUAGAGAAGAAUUUACCUGGUUGCUAAAGAUAAAUGAAAUCCGGUAUAAAUGACAUAACAUAUUACUUAUAGAUGUGGGCCAAGUUAUAUCUACCAUAAUAUGAAGUAAGUGUGGUAUAUCAUGGCUAGUUUAAAAAGUUGUUAUUGAGUCUGUCUCACUGUGUUUAUAAUUUCCAUUCUGUGUAUCUACCCUGGUUUUUUGUUUUUUGGUUUUUUUUUAAAUUAAUUUUUUAGGGAAAGCGUCUUGUGAUUUUACCCAGGCUGAUCUCAAACCUCUGGCCUCAAAUGAUCCUCCCAUCUCAGCCUCCUAAAGUGUUGGGAUUACAGGAUUGAGACACUGCACCGUGCUUUUUGAAAACACUUAGAAAUUUUAAGUUCUUAGAUGAAAUUAUAUUUGCUUAAUGAAAGAAUUUCUCAUUCUAUAAAAGGAAGCACUCAGUAAUAAUAGUUAAUAUUUAGUGUGUUUACUAUCUGCCAGGUAAUACCAAAAAUUCUUGCAUGUGUUAAUGCAUCUACUCCCCAUAAAACCGUAGGAACUAUUGUUUCUCUUACUUUGUAAAUGAGGAGGCAAGAGCCCAGUGAUCUGCUGGGGCUGGAAUUUGAAACGAGGUAGCUUGCCUUUAGAGCCUGUACUCUUUGAACUAUUAUAUUUUUUUCUUGAGUGCUUGUGCAGUAUGUUUGCAGUCUUUAAGAAAUUUUAAUAAAUGACAGGCUAGGUGUCCAUUUAGAAAAACUGUAGAACAUUACCCCUUACAGCAGAUGUGAAAUGUAGAAAGAUGUGGUUUUGUUUGUUAUCAGAAGAAAAAUGUUAUAGAAACGGCUUGUUAUUUCUUUUUUACUGUAAAUGUUUAUGCUUUGUCAAAUUGUCACUACUCGCAAUUUGCAGAUUUUAAAAUGAUGCCAGGUUGGGUAUUCCAUCUAAAAUUUUAUUAGCAGGCCUUAAAAGGCCUUGGAAUUAUUUUAAUUACCUAAUUCUAAUUUUUUUAAUUUGAAUGGAGAUUGAGUAAUUACUGAUAAUAUUGUUUCUUUUGCUCAGCCUCUUCAAUCCUUUCAGUAAUAACUUAGUUUCUUGUACCUACAAGUCCAGAUUUUAUUACCCUUUAACUAAAAAAUGAUAUAUAAUCAUGAUUAUUAUAUUCUGUGUAUUAAGUGCACUAAAAAAUUAAGAGUUUUUAGGAUUAGUUUUUCACUUAAUAAACCCUAAAACAUUUGUCAUAAAAAACUGAGAAAUCACUGAUACUUGCCCCACAACCCUCACCAUCUAGAACAUCUCUUAGAAUUAGGAAGUAAGUUAAAAUGGCCUCUAAGUAGCAAAAGUCCAUGGGAAAGUUUACGUACUUACUUUUAGAAGCAUGUGAGCCCCUUGACACCUUAAAAAUGUAUUUUUUAGUAGCAGUUAAACUACAUACUUCCCAGCCAGCAGUAUAUUAUUGAGGUAGUGUAAGCUAUUUAAAUAAGUGAUGAUAGGCUUAUUGAAGUAGCUGUAGCGAUGGUAUUUUAGCAAAACAAAGGACAAACACUAAAAUCCACUUGGGUGAGGUGGUGUGUGCCUGUAGUCCUAACUACUCAGGAGGCUGAGGUGGGAGGAUUGUUUUGAGUCUAGCUUGGACCACAUAGCAAAACUACUUCUUUAAAAAAAAAAAAAAAAAAAAGGACACUAAAA
Molecule: non-coding RNA, 6129 nt
Organism: Callithrix jacchus (white-tufted-ear marmoset)
Lineage: Eukaryota; Metazoa; Chordata; Mammalia; Primates; Cebidae
Source: RefSeq, a predicted model, not a curated record